ACGGAGGGUGCAAGCGUUAUCCGGAUUCACUGGGUUUAAAGGGUGCGUAGGCGGGCAGGUAAGUCCGUGGUGAAAUCUCUGAGCUUAACUCAGAAACUGCCAUGGAUACUAUUUGUCUUGAAUAUUGUGGAGGUAAGCGGAAUAUGUCAUGUAGCGGUGAAAUGCUUAGAUAUGACAUAGAACACCAAUUGCGAAGGCAGCUUACUACACAGUUAUUGACGCUGAGGCACGAAAGCGUGGGGAUCAAACAGGA
This 253-nucleotide ribosomal RNA is filed under the name uncultured prokaryote. RNAcentral describes it as "partial 16S ribosomal RNA". It matches the Rfam family "Bacterial small subunit ribosomal RNA", at positions 525 to 777 of the family's 1533-position model. The record is from RNAcentral.